This 163-nucleotide ribosomal RNA is filed under the name Pinguicula rectifolia. RNAcentral describes it as "5.8S rRNA". It matches the Rfam family "5.8S ribosomal RNA". From Rfam's summary of the family: 5.8S ribosomal RNA (5.8S rRNA) is a component of the large subunit of the eukaryotic ribosome. It is transcribed by RNA polymerase I as part of the 45S precursor that also contains 18S and 28S rRNA. The record is from RNAcentral. Lineage: Eukaryota; Viridiplantae; Streptophyta; Magnoliopsida; Lamiales; Lentibulariaceae.
GACUCUCGGCAACGGAUAUCUCGGCUCUCGCAUCGAUGAAGAACGUAGCAAAAUGCGAUACUUGGUGUGAAUUGCAGAAUCCCGUGAACCAUCGAGUCUUUGAACGCAAGUUGCGCCCGAAGCCAUCCGGCCGAGGGCACGCCUGCCUGGGCGUCACGCGUCG